This 79-nucleotide microRNA precursor is filed under the name Cajanus cajan (pigeon pea). Its description in RNAcentral is "miRNA gene-KK1_041483". Lineage: Eukaryota; Viridiplantae; Streptophyta; Magnoliopsida; Fabales; Fabaceae. The record is from RNAcentral.
AUUUUUAAAAUCAGCUAUUUAAGAAACGAUUUUGUAUGUAGUAUACAAAAUCAGUUCUUGAAUAACCGAUUUUAAAAGU